Molecule: ribosomal RNA, 494 nt
Filed under: uncultured bacterium
Lineage: Bacteria
Description: partial 16S ribosomal RNA
Rfam family: Bacterial small subunit ribosomal RNA
Source: RNAcentral
GACGAACGCUGGCGGCGUGCUUAACACAUGCAAGUCGAACGGAAAGGCCUGCUUUCCCUUGUGGAUUGCGGGUACUCGAGUGGCGAACGGGUGAGUAACACGUGAGUGAUCUGCCCCCAACUUGGGUAUAAGCCUGGGAAACUGGGUCUAAUUCCCGAUAGGACUGCAGGGUGGUGCCUGUGGUGGAAAACGAUUUUCUAGUGGUUGGGGAUGAGCUCGCGGCCUAUCAGCUUGUUGGUGGGGUAAUGGCCUACCAAGGCGGCGACGGGUAGCCGGCCUGAGAGGGUGGACGGCCACAUUGGGACUGAGAUACGGCCCAGACUCCUACGGGAGGCAGCAGUGGGGAAUAUUGCACAAUGGGCGGAAGCCUGAUGCAGCGACGCCGCGUGGGGGAUGACGGCCUUCGGGUUGUAAACUCCUUUCGACCGCGAGGAAGCCACCUGGUUGGAAGGGUGGUGACGGUAGUGGUAGAAGAAGCAUCGGCUAACUACGUG